RNAcentral lists this transfer RNA (72 nucleotides) under bacterium. RNAcentral describes it as "tRNA-Met". It matches the Rfam family "tRNA". From Rfam's summary of the family: Transfer RNA (tRNA) molecules are approximately 80 nucleotides in length. Their secondary structure includes four short double-helical elements and three loops (D, anti-codon, and T loops). Further hydrogen bonds mediate the characteristic L-shaped molecular structure. tRNAs have two regions of fundamental functional importance: the anti-codon, which is responsible for specific mRNA codon recognition, and the 3' end, to which the tRNAs corresponding amino acid is attached (by aminoacyl-tRNA synthetases). tRNAs cope with the degeneracy of the genetic code in two manners: having more than one tRNA (with a specific anti-codon) for a particular amino acid; and 'wobble' base-pairing, i.e. permitting non-standard base-pairing at the 3rd anti-codon position. The record is from RNAcentral.
GGCAAGGUAGCUCAAUGGCAGAGCAGCGGUAUCAUAAACCGCCGGUUGUGGGUUCGAUUCCCACCCUUGCUA